This 64-nucleotide transfer RNA is filed under the name Bugula neritina. It matches the Rfam family "tRNA". Rfam says of the family: Transfer RNA (tRNA) molecules are approximately 80 nucleotides in length. Their secondary structure includes four short double-helical elements and three loops (D, anti-codon, and T loops). Lineage: Eukaryota; Metazoa; Bryozoa; Gymnolaemata; Cheilostomatida; Bugulidae. The record is from Rfam by way of RNAcentral.
GGAAAAAUAGUUUAAGAAAAACAAUUAAUUGUGAAUUAAUAAAUGAAAAAAAUUUCUUUUUCCA